This 158-nucleotide ribosomal RNA is filed under the name uncultured bacterium. RNAcentral describes it as "partial 16S rRNA". It matches the Rfam family "Bacterial small subunit ribosomal RNA", at positions 358 to 508 of the family's 1533-position model. The record is from RNAcentral.
GGAAUCUUCCACAAUGGGCGAAAGCCUGAUGGAGCAACGCCGCGUGUGUGAUGAAGGGUUUCGGCUCGUAAAACACUGUUGUAAGAGAAGAAUGACAUUGAGAGUAACUGUUCAAUGUGUGACGGUAUCUUACCAGAAAGGAACGGCUAAAUACGUGC